GUGAGGAAUAUUGGUCAAUGGGCGGAAGCCUGAACCAGCCAUCCCGCGUGCAGGAAGACGGCCCUAUGGGUUGUAAACUGCUUUUCCAGGGGGCGAAACUUUCCGAUGUAUCGGGAUUUGACGGUACCCUGGGAAUAAGCAUCGGCUAACUCCGUGCCAGCAGCCGCGGUAAUACGGAGGAUGCGAGCGUUAUCCGGAUUUAUUGGGUUUAAAGGGUGCGUAGGCGGAUCGAUAAGUCAGUGGUGAAACCCUGCAGCUUAACUGUAGACUUGCCGUUGAUACUGUUGGUCUUGAGUGUGGUCAAGGUAGGCGGAAUGUGUAAUGUAGCGGUGAAAUGCUUAGAUAUUACACAGAACACCGAUUGCGAAGGCAGCUUACUGGGCCAUUACUGACGCUGAUGCACGAAAGCGUGGGGAUCGAACAGGAUUAGAAACCCUAGUAGUCC
Molecule: ribosomal RNA, 445 nt
Filed under: uncultured bacterium
Lineage: Bacteria
Description: partial 16S ribosomal RNA
Rfam family: Bacterial small subunit ribosomal RNA
Source: RNAcentral